RNAcentral lists this transfer-messenger RNA (300 nucleotides) under Candidatus Pelagibacter sp. It matches the Rfam family "Alphaproteobacteria transfer-messenger RNA". From Rfam's summary of the family: Bacterial tmRNA, also known as 10Sa RNA or SsrA, is named for its dual tRNA and mRNA-like properties. Its role is to liberate the mRNA from a stalled ribosome. Lineage: Bacteria; Pseudomonadati; Pseudomonadota; Alphaproteobacteria; Candidatus Pelagibacterales; Candidatus Pelagibacteraceae. The record is from RNAcentral.
UUUAUUGAAUCUCUCUUAAUUGCUUUUAUAUUAAUAGUGUUGGCUUGCCAACUACGACGAUAAACGAAUUUCGUAAUAACCAUUGCGGACGUGGGGGCAGUACCCACCACCUCCACCAUUUACAACUUAUGGGGGUGAACUAGAUUCGACGGGUGUCUAAAAGUUAUUCUUUCGUUCGGAAUUGUUCCUCCGUGAAGGGCUAAUUUAUAAUUGCUAACGAAAGUUAUGCACUUGCUGCUUAAUUAAUUUUUUAAUUAAGUAAACGGGGUCUGGGGCACCUGGCAACAGAACGCCCCUUUU